Molecule: ribosomal RNA, 733 nt
Filed under: Bacillus cereus
Lineage: Bacteria; Bacillati; Bacillota; Bacilli; Caryophanales; Bacillaceae
Description: bacterial SSU rRNA
Rfam family: Bacterial small subunit ribosomal RNA
Source: RNAcentral
CUAAUACAUGCAAGUCGAGCGAAUGGAUUAAGAGCUUGCUCUUAUGAAGUUAGCGGCGGACGGGUGAGUAACACGUGGGUAACCUGCCCAUAAGACUGGGAUAACUCCGGGAAACCGGGGCUAAUACCGGAUAACAUUUUGAACCGCAUGGUUCGAAAUUGAAAGGCGGCUUCGGCUGUCACUUAUGGAUGGACCCGCGUCGCAUUAGCUAGUUGGUGAGGUAACGGCUCACCAAGGCAACGAUGCGUAGCCGACCUGAGAGGGUGAUCGGCCACACUGGGACUGAGACACGGCCCAGACUCCUACGGGAGGCAGCAGUAGGGAAUCUUCCGCAAUGGACGAAAGUCUGACGGAGCAACGCCGCGUGAGUGAUGAAGGCUUUCGGGUCGUAAAACUCUGUUGUUAGGGAAGAACAAGUGCUAGUUGAAUAAGCUGGCACCUUGACGGUACCUAACCAGAAAGCCACGGCUAACUACGUGCCAGCAGCCGCGGUAAUACGUAGGUGGCAAGCGUUAUCCGGAAUUAUUGGGCGUAAAGCGCGCGCAGGUGGUUUCUUAAGUCUGAUGUGAAAGCCCACGGCUCAACCGUGGAGGGUCAUUGGAAACUGGGAGACUUGAGUGCAGAAGAGGAAAGUGGAAUUCCAUGUGUAGCGGUGAAAUGCGUAGAGAUAUGGAGGAACACCAGUGGCGAAGGCGACUUUCUGGUCUGUAACUGACACUGAGGCGCGUAGCCC